UAUCAAUAAGCGGAGGAAAAGAAACCAACAGGGAUUGCCUUAGUAGCGGCGAGUGAAGCGGCAAUAGCUCAAAUUUGAAAUCUGGCGUCUUCGGCGUCCGAAUUGUAAUUUGAAGAAGGUAUCUUUGAGGCUGGCUCUUGUCUAUGUUCCUUGGAACAGGACGUCACAGAGGGUGAGAAUCCCGUGCGAUGAGAAGUCCAGUUUCGUGUAAAGUUCCUUCGACGAGUCGAGUUGUUUGGGAAUGCAGCUCUAAGUGGGUGGUAAAUUCCAUCUAAAGCUAAAUAUUUGCGAGAGACCGAUAGCGAACAAGUACUGUGAAGGAAAGAUGAAAAGAACUUUGAAAAGAGAGUGAAAAAGUACGUGAAAUUGUUGAAAGGGAAGGGCUUGAGGUCAGACUUGGUUUACCAGGCCAGCAUCAGUUUGGGUGGCAGGAUAAUAGCUAAGGAAAGUGGCACAAUUUCGGUUGUGUGUUAUAGCCUUGGUUG
This 485-nucleotide ribosomal RNA is filed under the name Yamadazyma dendronema. Its description in RNAcentral is "[Candida] dendronema partial large subunit ribosomal RNA". It matches the Rfam family "Eukaryotic large subunit ribosomal RNA", at positions 41 to 521 of the family's 3401-position model. Lineage: Eukaryota; Fungi; Ascomycota; Pichiomycetes; Serinales; Debaryomycetaceae. The record is from RNAcentral.